Molecule: transfer RNA, 82 nt
Filed under: Chloroflexota bacterium
Lineage: Bacteria; Bacillati; Chloroflexota
Also listed under: 2 other names
Description: Chloroflexi bacterium (oil production facility metagenome) tRNA-Tyr
Rfam family: tRNA
About the family: Transfer RNA (tRNA) molecules are approximately 80 nucleotides in length. Their secondary structure includes four short double-helical elements and three loops (D, anti-codon, and T loops). Further hydrogen bonds mediate the characteristic L-shaped molecular structure. tRNAs have two regions of fundamental functional importance: the anti-codon, which is responsible for specific mRNA codon recognition, and the 3' end, to which the tRNAs corresponding amino acid is attached (by aminoacyl-tRNA synthetases). tRNAs cope with the degeneracy of the genetic code in two manners: having more than one tRNA (with a specific anti-codon) for a particular amino acid; and 'wobble' base-pairing, i.e. permitting non-standard base-pairing at the 3rd anti-codon position.
Source: RNAcentral
GGGCAGGUACCCAAGUGGCCAAAGGGGACUGACUGUAAAUCAGUUGGCUCAGCCUUCGGAGGUUCGAAUCCUUCCCUGCCCA